Mercenaria mercenaria is the source of this 707-nucleotide long non-coding RNA. RefSeq lists it as uncharacterized. Lineage: Eukaryota; Metazoa; Mollusca; Bivalvia; Venerida; Veneridae. The transcript is spliced from 3 exons. The record is from RefSeq and is a predicted model, not a curated record.
AAUAUGAAAUACCUUUGAAGGGUCAUGUUCUUCAAACCUGGAUAAAAAUUGAACUUGAAGGGACAGAGACAAACGAAAUUGAGAUUGUAGCAGUUAAAACUUCAUAUUACACGAAAUACAAAAAAAUGCUGCGGUUCAACUAAUUUGAAUUUACCCUUGUAACAAGGUAACCUACCUCCUUAAAAGAAACGCUCGGAGGAACGGAAAAGACUCAUCUAAAGCACUUGUGCAGGAUAUUAGCUUCCUGCACAUAAUUCAAGAAAUAUAUUGUAUAGAAUAAAAUCAUCCAGGGAACGGUUAACUCUUUAAUUCUUUCUGUCAGGUGGCGUUAUGGUGUGUGUAUAUGUCCCGUCCAGCCUUUGCUUGGUGAGAAUGGGUAUCCGACUUGCAACUGAACUUCAGAUAAAACUUCACUUGGCAGCAAAUGAGAAUUAUUUAUUUAUGUUCAGCAGAACGGAUAGGUCGGAUACAACACAAACAAGAUUGUAUCACGGAGGUACAGCCAAUGGCAACACAAGUCGUCUCAAACAUGGCGGGAAGAAAGAUGCAAACAGUGUAUGUAAGUAAAGAGAUGGAAAACAACAGUCAAUAUGAAAGACAUCUUUCUCAUGUUUCACCUGACAUUUAUUUGCGGUUGAUCAGAGCUAAAAAUAUCGCGAGGAAAUAUUUUUUUUUUUUUGUAUAAAAUAUUACAUGCUUAAAUUAUA